This 464-nucleotide ribosomal RNA is filed under the name uncultured bacterium. RNAcentral's name for it is "partial 16S ribosomal RNA". It matches the Rfam family "Bacterial small subunit ribosomal RNA", at positions 28 to 506 of the family's 1533-position model. The record is from RNAcentral.
GACGAACGCUGGCGGCGUGCUUAACACAUGCAAGUCGAACGGAAAGGCCCCCUUGUGGGGUACUCGAGUGGCGAACGGGUGAGUAACACGUGAGUAACCUACCCUUGACUUUGGGAUAACUUCAGGAAACUGGGGCUAAUACCGGAUAGGAGCUCCUGCUGCAUGGUGGGGGUUGGAAAGUUUCGGCGGUUGGGGAUGGACUCGCGGCUUAUCAGCUUGUUGGUGGGGUAGUGGCUCACCAAGGCUUUGACGGGUAGCCGGCCUGAGAGGGUGACCGGCCACAUUGGGACUGAGAUACGGCCCAGACUCCUACGGGAGGCAGCAGUGGGGAAUAUUGCACAAUGGGCGGAAGCCUGAUGCAGCAACGCCGCGUGCGGGAUGACGGCCUUCGGGUUGUAAACCGCUUUCGCCUGUGACGAAGCGUGAGUGACGGUAAUGGGUAAAGAAGCACCGGCGAACUACGU